AUGGUCUCCAUAUCAAGGUCUUGUGUGCCCAGAGAGAGGAUUUCAUUUCAACCACCACCAUCACCACCAUCAUCAUCAUCACCAAGAGGGGUGCUGAGUGAGCGUCCGGGGAGGAGGAUUGAUAUUGGAAAAGUAGUUUCUAUCGAGCACCCAAAUGAAGAGAGAGCGCAGAACAAGAGGCAGGACUCACAAGUCCUUGACCUUCUCAUUAGACUCAUUAGCACCUACAGGACCCUGCAUCAGGAUUUCAUCUGCAUUAUCAGCUUCUUCAAAGAGAGAGAGGUUGUUGAGAUGGUUUGCUGAGAUAUUGGGGUGAGGUGAGAAGAUUGCCAAACCAAUCCCCUGUCAUUUUCUGACCCUUCAUUUGAUCUUCUACAUUGAUUUGGAAAAGCAAUUUCUAUUAAGCCUCAAAUGAAGAGAGGGUGCAGAUGAAGAGGAGGCAGGAGUCACAAGCCCUUGACCCUCAUACCAGACCCAUUACCACCUAUAGGACCUUGCAGUGGGAUUUCAUCUGCACCAUCAGCUCUUUCAAAGACAGAGAGGUUGUUGAGUGAGUACAC
RNAcentral lists this long non-coding RNA (560 nucleotides) under Rhinopithecus bieti (black snub-nosed monkey). RNAcentral's name for it is "lncRNA (ENSRBIG00000046274.1)". Lineage: Eukaryota; Metazoa; Chordata; Mammalia; Primates; Cercopithecidae. The record is from RNAcentral.